UACAGAGGGUGCAAGCGUUAAUCGGAAUUACUGGGCGUAAAGGGCGCGUAGGCGGUUAUUUAAGUUAGAUGUGAAAUCCCUGGGCUUAACCUAGGAACUGCAUCUGAUACUGGGUAACUGGAGUACUGUAGAGGGUAGUGGAAUUUCCGGUGUAGCGGUGAAAUGCGUAGAUAUCGGAAGGAACACCAGUGGCGAAGGCGGCUACCUGGACAGAUACUGACGCUGAGGCGCGAGAGCGUGGGGAGCAAACAGG
Molecule: ribosomal RNA, 253 nt
Filed under: uncultured bacterium
Lineage: Bacteria
Description: partial 16S ribosomal RNA
Rfam family: Bacterial small subunit ribosomal RNA
Source: RNAcentral